UACGUAGGGGGCGAGCGUUGUCCGGAUUUACUGGGCGUAAAGAGCGCGUAGGCGGGUUCUUAAGUCGGAGGUGAAAGGUUCAGGGCUCAACCCGAACAGUGCCUUUCAUACUGGGAGCCUUGAGUGUGGGAGAGGCGAGUGGAAUUUCUGGUGUAGCGGUGAAAUGCGUAGAUAUCAGAAGGAACACCCAUGGCGAAGGCAGCUCGCUGGCCUACAACUGACGCUGAGGCGCGAAAGCGUGGGGAGCAAACAGG
Molecule: ribosomal RNA, 254 nt
Filed under: uncultured bacterium
Lineage: Bacteria
Description: partial 16S ribosomal RNA
Rfam family: Bacterial small subunit ribosomal RNA
Source: RNAcentral